This 2249-nucleotide long non-coding RNA is filed under the name Homo sapiens (human). RNAcentral describes it as "HSALNT0300817". The record is from RNAcentral. Lineage: Eukaryota; Metazoa; Chordata; Mammalia; Primates; Hominidae.
CCACACUGAGCACACCAAGCUUUGCCCUUCUGAAGGAUAAAUUGGGCUAGUACCAAUUAGCUCACUAAACAAAUAUUUCUCCAUUGAAGCACAUGUUUGCUCUCCCAUUUCACUCUGUAUUUACUUAUUCAUAGCCCAUAAAAAGCAGUUAGCUGGAAACAUUCAUGUUUCCUCAUUACAUUCCCCAAAGUGGGAGGUUGUUUUCCUCUCAUGUAGCAUUUUUCCAGUGUGUGAAAAUCUCUGGCCUCAAAGCACACUUGUGGGAACCCAUAAUUGAGUCUGAGAUCAUCCAACAGCAGCAGAAAGCUCUUACAGCCCCGAGAGCCUCAGGGAGCCAGGAAGCUUACAGAACCUUGCUGAAAAACACGGGAUCUAUAGCUAAAUCCAGAAAGCCCCCGGAGACCAUUUGGACCAACCCCUCCCACAGAAGAUACAGAAUGCCAAAUAUUCCAAUGUAAGGAUGGUCCUGAGAAAAAAGAUCCUUGGAAGUCUUUAGAGUGGUAAUCAUAUGCCAAUGUCCCUGCUGAGAGAUGGUAUAACCUCAUGUUGAACAGCUGCUGUUAGAGUGGUUAAAGCCCUGACCCCUGCCAUUCACUAUGGGAGAAGACAGCAACAGCUUUUCUGCCCCACUGGUGUUCUCUAGGGCUUUCUGACCCAGGUCCUCAUCAGCGCAGUCCCUAGCGUUGAGCCCAGCAACCCUAGGAUCAAGGCCUUGAAAGACAAGGUUUUGGGAUCUCCCAAAGGUAAUUGGGAUGUUUGGCAUUGUUUGCAUAUUAGUCUAGAAAACCUCACAUACAUCACUUGCUCCAGCACAGAUUACACUUCUUAAAAAAGACCCGAAAAGAACAUCAGGAUAUUAAAACACAAAACGCAACACAACUGUAUGUGAAUUUCUGUGCUCAAGAGAACAUAGUGAAAAUUAAUGUUGUGAUCUUUCUGAGCACAUAUCUUUUGCCAACAAUGUUUCUUCAACCACUGUUAACUAAAUCCAAGGACCUAUUACAUCGCAAAUGGAAGAUUAAAGAGAGUUUUUUUCUAAGCAGAUUUGUUGUACUCUUGCAAGGCAAUCUCUUGCUCAAUAGAAUUGUUUAUCUAUGGAAAAAUAUUUUACUUUGAGCAAACCUCCCUCAAAGACCCUAACAUAACUACUCUCUGAUAGCCAUUUUAGAGACACAUUGAGCAAAAGAUUCACAGUAACAGGAAGUUCAUGAAAUUACUCCUUUAGCACAAUAAAUUGUUCAAAACAAUUCUAAUAUAUUGAAGAGUUAAACUUCCUCAGAUAUUACAAUUAUAAAGAUUACAGAAAAGUAUUUUAUAUAUAUAGUUAUCUAAGAUUCUUUCUGUGGGUGGAGGGAGAAGUGGUAUCAAUUUGCACUGUGUACAGAUAAGUUCAAGAUUUGAGCAUCUUCUAAUCUUAUUUAAUAAACUAGUCAAUAUUGACAUAGUCUCAUGACAGGAUUAGGCAGCAUUGCUUAAAAUAAACAGGUAUCAAUCUUGAAAACUAGAGAAACCCUUCAGAAUCAUUCUAUUUAACUCCAAGAGCAGUGCCAAGUACCACAUGGAAGGAGAGCUCUCUUGCAUAUUAUUAAUAACUACUCAAGUAGUGGAAGAACACCUGAGCUAUGUACAGCACUGGAUGGAAGCAGCAGAUUCAUAAACAGCACAAAGAAUCACCCCUGUUAUCCAGGAACUCACUCCACAAGGGGGGUUGAAACCUUAGACAGGCAGAGGCCAAUCCAGGUGAUGUGAGACUGCAGCAUAUUCUAUUUUGAGGAUUCUUUUAAAAAUUAAGAGUAAAAAACUAAAUAUAAGAAUGAAUAUUUAUUGAGAUAAGAAAAACAAAUUAUGAAUUUUAAAAGAACUGACAAAUACUAUAAAUAUCAUACCAUUCAGAAAUGUCAACAUACUAGUUUUAUUAAAUAACUGCCUAGUGCCUCUAUGAUUUUUUUCCUUGCAUUUUCUGGCUACAUGUGUUUUUAUCACCGCUUUGUGCAGAGUUUGUAAAAUAAUUUUACAUGAAGAGAAUAGAAUAUAAUUCUUUCAUUUUGUAUGAUUAAACAAAAAUUGUUUAAUUAGUUAACUGAAUUGUAUAAACACAACUUCAUAUAUACAUGUAUUUGCUGUUUGUAGGACGGCAACAGGUUUGUGCCAUACAAACACAGAAAUUCUAGUAUAUUCUGAUAAAUUUACACAAUUCCUAUCAAAAAAAGCAAUUUAUCUUCCUUUUUUUAUUAUUUUUUAAAUUAUAC